Molecule: ribosomal RNA, 314 nt
Filed under: uncultured bacterium
Lineage: Bacteria
Description: partial 16S ribosomal RNA
Rfam family: Bacterial small subunit ribosomal RNA
Source: RNAcentral
GUAUAAGAGACAGCAGCAGCCGCGGUAAAACGGAGGGUGCAAGCGUUAAUCGGAAUUACUGGGCGUAAAGCGCACGCAGGCGGUCUGUCAAGUCAGAUGUGAAAUCCCCGGGCUUAACCUGGGAACUGCAUUUGAAACUGGCAGGCUAGAGUCUUGUAGAGGGGGGUAGAAUUCCAGGUGUAGCGGUGAAAUGCGUAGAGAUCUGGAGGAAUACCGGUGGCGAAGGCGGCCCCCUGGACAAAGACUGACGCUCAGGUGCGAAAGCGUGGGGAGCAAACAGGAUUAGAUACCCGAGUAGUCCCUGUCUCUUAUAC